This 465-nucleotide ribosomal RNA is filed under the name Vreelandella stevensii. RNAcentral describes it as "partial 16S ribosomal RNA". It matches the Rfam family "Bacterial small subunit ribosomal RNA", at positions 338 to 795 of the family's 1533-position model. Lineage: Bacteria; Pseudomonadati; Pseudomonadota; Gammaproteobacteria; Oceanospirillales; Halomonadaceae. The record is from RNAcentral.
CCUACGGGUGGCUGCAGUGGGGAAUAUUGGACAAUGGGGGGAACCCUGAUCCAGCCAUGCCGCGUGUGUGAAGAAGGCCCUCGGGUUGUAAAGCACUUUCAGUGAGGAAGAACGCCUGGUGGUUAAUACCCAUCAGGAAAGACAUCACUCACAGAAGAAGCACCGGCUAACUCCGUGCCAGCAGCCGCGGUAAUACGGAGGGUGCGAGCGUUAAUCGGAAUUACUGGGCGUAAAGCGCGCGUAGGUGGCUCGAUAAGCCGGUUGUGAAAGCCCCGGGCUCAACCUGGGAACGGCAUCCGGAACUGUCAAGCUAGAGUGCAGGAGAGGAAGGUAGAAUUCCCGGUGUAGCGGUGAAAUGCGUAGAGAUCGGGAGGAAUACCAGUGGCGAAGGCGGCCUUCUGGACUGACACUGACACUGAGGUGCGAAAGCGUGGGUAGCAAACAGGAUUAGAUACCCUAGUAGUC